RNAcentral lists this small RNA (390 nucleotides) under Arabidopsis thaliana (thale cress). RNAcentral's name for it is "ATSL123040". The record is from RNAcentral. Lineage: Eukaryota; Viridiplantae; Streptophyta; Magnoliopsida; Brassicales; Brassicaceae.
AUUCUUAUUCAAUUUCCCAAAAGUUUAAACGACAACAAACCAUUUCUUAGGCUAUCAUAUAUAAUUUAAGUCAGAUUUAUUAUAUGCAGAUUUAUUAUUUUUAGAUUUUGUUUUAUUUUAAUUUAUGUGGUACAGUCACCUGAAGAAUGACCCGCUUUCUCCAAUCUGCUAGAAGAUGACCCGCUUUCUCCAAUCUGCUAGAAGAUCUUGGAGUCUUACGCGUUUCUUUCUCCCUUUUCUCGCUUUCCCUUAUCUCUCGCUCAUGUAAUGUUAGAGCGGACUGCUUAACUCGCUCUUCUAGAUUUUUAUUUUCUGAAGUUACCUUUGUAAAUACUUUUCCUCUUAAUUGGGUAACCAAUUAUGGAGUUUCUUUUUAAUUAAUGUAUGGUU